This 393-nucleotide ribosomal RNA is filed under the name uncultured bacterium. Its description in RNAcentral is "partial 16S ribosomal RNA". It matches the Rfam family "Bacterial small subunit ribosomal RNA", at positions 523 to 918 of the family's 1533-position model. The record is from RNAcentral.
AUACGGAGGAUCCGAGCGUUAUCCGGAUUUAUUGGGUUUAAAGGGUGCGUAGGUGGUUUGAUAAGUCAGCGGUGAAAGUUUGCAGCUUAACUGUAAAAAUGCCGUUGAAACUGUCGGACUUGAGUGUACAUGAGGUAGGCGGAAUGCGUGGUGUAGCGGUGAAAUGCAUAGAUAUCACGCAGAACUCCGAUUGCGAAGGCAGCUUACUAAGCAACAACUGACACUGAAGCACGAAAGCGUGGGGAUCAAACAGGAUUAGAUACCCUGGUAGUCCACGCAGUAAACGAUGAUUACUAGCUGUUUGCGAUACACAGUAAGCGGCACAGCGAAAGCGUUAAGUAAUCCACCUGGGGAGUACGCCGGCAACGGUGAAACUCAAAGGAAUUGACGGGG